Lagopus muta (rock ptarmigan) is the source of this 2618-nucleotide RNA transcript. It is a transcript of the gene named TNFAIP3 interacting protein 3, with no coding region annotated. NCBI's taxonomy places the organism in Eukaryota, Metazoa, Chordata, Aves, Galliformes, Phasianidae. The transcript is spliced from 15 exons. The record is from RefSeq and is a predicted model, not a curated record.
UGAGACAAGUGCAUACCAGCCCAGCAGCACAGAGAUGAGCACCUUGCCUAAAAUGAUUCACUGUGAAAAGUUCAAAAUGAAGAAUAAAGAGGCAGAGAAUCUUCUAGAAUUGUGUUCCCAUCAGCAUGUUGAGAUGGAAAGCAGGUGUGAAAGUAAAGAGCUUGAUGUUGAAAUAAGGAACCUGAUAGAGAGGAGUGGUGUUUCCAAGUCGUGUGAGGACUCUGAACUUAUUGCCCAAGGGAGUCUGAACCACCAGAGGACUUCAUGUUCCCCUAAGAUCUGCUGUGAGACGAAUGCUCAAGGCCGUCUUGGAAGCACAUGGGCAGACAUGAGUGAGAUGGAAGCUCCAGGAGACCUGCCAGAAUCAAAGCAAGGAUUACCAAACAAACAGAAGACUCUAUUAGCCAACUCUCAGGAACGACAUAUCCUCUCACUGGAAAGACAGAGACAAGAGCUUCUGGAGGUGAACAAGCAAUGGGAUCAUCAAUUUAGAACCAUGAAACAGCUUUAUGAAAAACAGCUGGCAGAAGUGAAAGCAAAACUGCACGUGUCAGAGAAGAGAGUCAGUGAGCUGGAGGAAGAAAGACAUCGACAUCCUCCAGAGAAGGAGAGAUUGCAGAUCCUGGACAGAGACACACCAUCACAGGAAAUGAAAGAAACAAAGGUCCUCAGUGAAGCCCUGCAUGAAAUGAAGGAAGAAAACAAGCUCCUGAAGCAGAAGAAUGCAUCAAUGAUAAGAAAACAAGAGCACUAUGAGUGUGAAAUAAGUCGUCUCAACAAGGCCCUUCUGGAUGUGUUGAAAAAGAACUCGUCUGUUCUUAGGACUCCUUCAGAGACUGGUGACAAGAACAGCUUUGGUGACAUGAGAACCCAACUUGAAGUUCUCAGACAACAGGUACAAAUAUAUGAAGAGGACUUCAGAAAGGAGAGAUCUGACAGAGAAAGACUUAAUGAGGAGAAAGAAGCAUUGCAGAAGGCUAAUGAGAGAUUACAGACUCAACUGAAUAAACUAAACUCACAGAUGAAGACCUGUCUGAAAGGAAAGGAACCACAAGAAAGGCAGUUACAGCAGCAGACAAAAGAUAUUCCGGUACAGUCCGAGAGGCUCACCUACCCACCUCCGCUAUUUCUCUCCCCGUGUGUUAAUUAUGGGAGUUGUGGGUUGCUUCUUCACUAUCAAGAUCCUCGAGUCCACCGAGUGUCUCGCAGAGCACAAGAACAGCAGCAGCACUCGCCAGACUAUCAGUGGUAUGUUCCUGACCAGUUUCCUCCAGAUGUUCAGCACAAGGCAAAGGGGCAAACACCAAAUCAACUUUGGAAGAACAAUUUGCCCCAUAUUUUCAGUCUUCAUGUGGAAGUCAGCACUUUGAUACACUCAAAGAACAAGCUCCAAAAGCAGAACACCUCACCAUAAAGGCAAGCCUGCUGCUGUCGAAUGACCCCCGUGAGUUGCAGCUCUGCAUUACAAGGCUGCAGAAAGGCUUAUUGUGCCUUUUGGCAUUGCUCAUAUGCUGCCAGGUGAUGGCUGUUGGACAUCUAUUUCUUCCUUAGACGCCUUUACUGAGCCAGAGUGGGGUGUUUCAGCAGGACGGAGAAGGUCAGUGCCCCUUUAGCAGAAUUAGCUCGAAGAAAUCUCAGUAUGCAAGAUCAGAGAAUCGACUCAUGCCCUCAUCCAGGUGAGAUCUACCCCGUAAACCUGAUUUUAAAGACUCAAGUCUGCUGCUCAUGUCAGAGCCUCUUUAAUCUCCACCCUGACUCCUCAGCUAACAGAGCUAUGGGGCUUUCUGAGGGAUGGUGGCAAGCCACAAAGAAUAAAAACAGGACAUUUGGACAGACAAUGUUGUCAGUGCUGUACAACGUUGGCAUUUAGAUAAUGUUUUUCCUUGCUAGUACAGUCUGCAUGAUCUGAACUUUGGAAUGUUAGCCAUGUGAUGAACUGCUGUCUGAGUGGUUAUACUGCAGACUAUGCAGAUAUUUUGCUGAUGUUACCAUAAGUGUGCUGUUUCAUAUUUCUCAUUUUUAGUAGGAGCAAUUGUCUUUCAGAAAGUUGUUUGAUAAAGCCAUAACAGGUAGAAAUGUAGUUGAGAGUGACCAGCUUGGAUUUCCUUUAUGAUCAUACUCACAUAUCUCUGAAAGAAUGUUCCACCUUUAUUCACUACUUUGGAAAAUACCUCUAAGAUUAUCCAGUCUAACUGUCCACCCAAGCUCACCAUGCCUUCUAUCCACAUCCGUCAGUACCCCAUCUUCAUGUUUUUUGAACACCUUCAGGGACAGUAACUCCACCACCUUCUGGGGUUGCCCAUUCCAAUGCAAUGUACUUUUAUUGGAGAAGAAUUUUUCCCCAGUAUCUGACCUGAACAUCCCCUAGCAUAAUAUAUGACCGUUACCUCUUGUUCUACUUUGCCUUAAUAAGAAUAUCAAAAUAUGGUCAAUGGUGUACAGUCAUCCAACUUGGUGCUGCGGUAGGGUCAGCUAUGGCUCUGCCCUCUCUGCCUAUAUGCUCUGUCUAAUGCACCACAUAAAGUUUGGAGUAAUGGUUUCCUCUUCAAGGAAAUGCAUUUGCCACAGGGAUCACUGUUCCAAUGUUUGGAUUCUGAUCAUCCCCAGAAAGCUGAGAA